UUUAUCAAGAGUGGUGGAGGGAACGGCCCUGUGAAGCCCGGCAGCGUACAGCUUUCUUGGGGAAGGCUGGGAUGUGCCAAUUCCGGCAGACAUUGGUCUGGUAGAUAAGU
RNAcentral lists this non-coding RNA (110 nucleotides) under human gut metagenome. RNAcentral's name for it is "SAM riboswitch (S box leader)". It matches the Rfam family "SAM riboswitch aptamer (S box leader)". Rfam says of the family: The SAM riboswitch is found upstream of a number of genes which code for proteins involved in methionine or cysteine biosynthesis in Gram-positive bacteria. The SAM riboswitch acts at the level of transcription termination control. The predicted structure consists of a complex stem-loop region followed by a single stem loop terminator region. The record is from RNAcentral.